This 393-nucleotide ribosomal RNA is filed under the name uncultured bacterium. RNAcentral describes it as "partial 16S ribosomal RNA". It matches the Rfam family "Bacterial small subunit ribosomal RNA", at positions 523 to 918 of the family's 1533-position model. The record is from RNAcentral.
AUACGGAGGACGCGAGCGUUAUCCGGAUUCAUUGGGUUUAAAGGGUGCGCAGGCGGCCGUGCAAGUCAGCGGUGAAAGCCCGGGGCUCAACCCCGGAAGUGCCGUUGAUACUGCGUGGCUGGAAUGCGGUCGAGGCGGGGGGAACGGGGCGUGGAGCGGGGAAAUGCGGAAAUAUGCCACAGAACCCCGAUAGCGGAGGCAGCUCGCCAGGCCUGCAUUGACGCUCGGGCACGAAAGCGUGGGGAUCGAACAGGAUUAGAUACCCUGGUAGUCCACGCCGUAAACGAUGGGCGCUCGUCGUCGGCGGCAGACAGUCGGCGGCCAAGCGAAAGCGAUAAGCGCCCCACCUGGGGAGUACGGUCGCAAGGCUGAAACUCAAAUGAAUUGGCGGGG